AACGAACGCUGGCGGCAUGCCUAACACAUGCAAGUCGAACGAGACCUUCGGGUCUAGUGGCGCACGGGUGCGUAACGCGUGGGAACCUGCCUUUAGGUUCGGAAUAACUCAGAGAAAUUUGAGCUAAUACCGGAUGGUGUCUUCGGACCAAAGAUUUAUCGCCUUUAGAUGGGCCCGCGUUGGAUUAGCUAGUUGGUGGGGUAAAGGCCUACCAAGGCGACGAUCCAUAGCUGGUCUGAGAGGAUGAUCAGCCACACUGGGACUGAGACACGGCCCAGACUCCUACGGGAGGCAGCAGUGGGGAAUAUUGGACAAUGGGCGAAAGCCUGAUCCAGCAAUGCCGCGUGAGUGAUGAAGGCCUUAGGGUUGUAAAGCUCUUUUACCCGAGAUGAUAAUGACAGUAUCGGGAGAAUAAGCUCCGGCUAACUCCGUG
Molecule: ribosomal RNA, 433 nt
Filed under: uncultured bacterium
Lineage: Bacteria
Description: partial 16S ribosomal RNA
Rfam family: Bacterial small subunit ribosomal RNA
Source: RNAcentral